Molecule: ribosomal RNA, 512 nt
Filed under: uncultured Chloroflexota bacterium
Lineage: Bacteria; Bacillati; Chloroflexota
Description: bacterial SSU rRNA
Rfam family: Bacterial small subunit ribosomal RNA
Source: RNAcentral
CAAUGGGCGAAAGCCUGAUGCAGCAACGCCGCGUGCACGAUGAAGGCCUUCGGGUCGUAAAGUGCUUUUCUGGGAGAUGAGAAAGGACAGUAUCCCAGGAAUAAGUCUCGGCUAACUACGUGCCAGCAGCCGCGGUAAAACGUAGGAGGCGAGCGUUAUCCGGAUUCACUGGGCGUAAAGCGCGUGCAGGUGGCUUGGUAAGUUAGGCGUGAAAUCUCCCGGCUCAACUGGGAGAGGUCGUCUAAUACUACCGGGCUCGAGAGCAGAAGAGGAAGAUGGAAUUCCCGGUGUAGUGGUGAAAUGCGUAGAUAUCGGGAGGAACACCAGUGGCGAAGGCGAUCUUCUGGUCUGUUUCUGACACUCAGACGCGACAGCUAGGGUAGUAAACGGGAUUAGAGACCCCGGUAAUCCUAGCCGUAAACGAUGUGAACUUGGCGUUGGUGGGUUAAACUCCAUCAGUGCCGAAGCAAACGCGAUAAGUUCACCGCCUGGGGACUACGGCCGCAAGGUUA